GCUUCUUCUGCUACAAGGCAAAAAGGGCUUGACAAAGACAUUGCACCAAAGACCAAAAUGUGAUAGGAAUGAUAGGUUUGUAAGGGAAUGUAAAAUGUCUUUAAUAGUAAACUGUGACCUAUAAACUUCAACCUUGUCUAAGCAAAAACUGAAGUUACCCCAUGUCUUAAAUUCCUCCCAUUACUUCACCUACAUGAGAGUGAGGCACCCAUUUCUCCUAAAUGGGUUGGCUACAAUCCCUCAUCUCUCCAUUGAAGAAGCUGUGGUUUCGCAUGCACUCUGCUCAAAGAAAGAGAAGAGGUAUAUACAUUUUGUAUGAGGAUGUCAAAUCCUGCCCCUAUGAAGAUGUGCAUGUCUUAUGGUCAAUACUAGUGGAGUCAAAUACUUCUUUGCCAUCAAAAAAUGGUGCUCAUAUGCAACCAGUUGACAGAAUAUGAGAAAGUUCCAGUUAUUUACAUUUUCCUUUUCUGUCAAGUCCAGCUAUGUACAUAAACAUAUUUGAUAUUUAUGAGUUUUAUACUCGUAUAAAAGAGUUGUCUUUUCUUUUUUUGUUCUUCUGGGUUUCUUCAAUUUCUCUCCUGUCAUCUGAGGUACGCAUUUGUAUAUUAUGGUACUCUCAAGUUUCAAUAUUUAUAGAAACGUUUUAUUUGGCUCUUAAUUUGAAACAGCCUUUUCUUUUA
Quercus robur (English oak) is the source of this 680-nucleotide long non-coding RNA. RefSeq lists it as uncharacterized. NCBI's taxonomy places the organism in Eukaryota, Viridiplantae, Streptophyta, Magnoliopsida, Fagales, Fagaceae. The transcript has 2 exons. The record is from RefSeq and is a predicted model, not a curated record.